ACAGAAGCGGAACGCGCGUCGAGAGCGCCCUGUCCGCUCGCCCCAGACAGAUGCCCGGUUAUUCAUUACCGCGAGGCCUAGAGGAAAGAGUGGCUGCCGUCUUCCUGCCCACAGCCCGCCGGACCCUCCGUCGCGGCUGCCCGGUCCCCGGAGCCGCAGCCGCCGAGCCCGGCUGUGCGUGUCGUGGCUGCUGGGGAGAAAGAGGCUUCCGGAAGCCCCAGAGAGAUUGGUGAGGGUGAUUUCCCAGGAAGACGCAGUGUGCUCUGACUUCUGUGACAGUGAGCAACGGGACCAGUGGAUGUCCAGAUGCUGGCAAUGAGACAUGCUCUGGAGUCAGAAGACAGCGAAAAGAGAAGCAGAAGCCCCGGUGGCAAGAGUCUGAAGCUGGAAAGGAGGAGAACAUGAAACAUUGCUUGAAGACAAUGGCCGAGACAGCAGGUCCCACCCUGCACAGCCACCAGCAUCUCUCCCCUCAGCCCUGUCUCCUCUUCUGCAGUUGGGAUCUGCACAUUUAAGCCUGAAAUUGUCCUGUGAAGUGAAGUAUGAUCGGACAGCCUCUUUUCAGCUUUUAUGACAAUGGAGACAGAGGAAUUGUGGCUCUUGCCAAGGUCACAGGAUUGGAAUACAGAGCCAAGCCACCCCAGGACAUGCAAGAGCCUCAGAAGGGAAAAAAGCCCAGCAGGAAGGGAGAACAAGUAGCCUCUGUCCUGAAGUUGUAACAGCCAGGGGCCAGGAUGGAGGAGGAGGACCCCAUAAUCUGCCCAUCUGGGACUUGGCAGGGGACCUGGGAAAAUGUACCCCAACCCAUCCCUUAAGGGCCUUUGUCUUUGGCCCAUUGGCCUAGCAUCUACUUCUUCACCGUGUCUGUUCUUGUCACACCUAGUCAGGUCUGUUUGGGUCUGAGGUGCAUGGAACAUUCUGGGUAGGCCUCCAGCAAACGGAAGCUCUUCACCGUGUUUCCAGCCUGGGACCAAGGGCAGCAUACUGGCAAAGUUGCCAAAGCAAGGGACUCCAGCCUCUUAGGAGUUAAUGACUCCCUCUCCCCAGCUGUCCUCCCCUUGGUGCUCCUCUUCCUCCCUCCUCCUGCUCACAGCAGGCAGGGCCUAGACCCGGGAGCCAUGCUGCUGUGCUGUUGCCAGGGGAGCACGGAGGCAGAUCUGAGCUAUGCAGGGAAAAGGCCCAGCCUGUCAAAGUGUCUGAGAUGAACCGCCGCCGUCCCUGUGCAGCUGGGCUCAGACGUGUCUCAGCUCUUGUUCUGUGCCUGAGAAUGGCGAAACCCAGUGAGGUUCAAGGGCAAACUCGCUAUUCAUUAGUCAGGGGUUCUUGACGUCCCGUCUCUCCCAGGGAUGAGUUCCCCCCUCCUCUUUCUCCCCCUCCUAUGACACAUUCCUGGGUGCCUUUGGUGAGGACUGCACACCCUCCUCCUGCCUAGCCCCCUCUCCAAAGGCCCCUGAAUAAACUCCCCCCAAGGAGACCAGGCAGGGCAGAGACAAUGGCUGCAGGAAAUCAUUCAGGCGGGACAUGCUGGCCUGCCCUCCACCCAGUCCCCCUGUGGGCCCCACUCCCUUCUGAUUCAGGGCACCCUUGGGCCCCCAGCCUAUACAGGCCUGGACAGGAAGAAACCACUGGGAACCACCCUAAGGACAACAUGCUAGUCCAGUGCCAUUCUUCGCUGGCUCUGUGGGUGCCUUUGUGGCCUGUACCGACUGGCUGGCUAAUUUUGUGGUUUCUGUACCAUCACAUGCCUAUUUUAAGACACUCUCCAGCACUGUCGGUUAGGGAGUGUAAAUUUUGCAAUAUUUUCUGAAAUGUGGCAAUAUCAAAAUGUAAAAGGCACACAUACUUGGUCACAAACAAAUGGCACUAUUUACUCUGUGGGCAUAUUUGUAAAAGUUGCCAAAGAAUUAUAUACAAGGAUGUUCAUCAGAGCAUUUCUUUUGAAGAGUAAAGAAAUGGACAUGAACCUGUGGUCCGUUCAUACGGUGGAAUACCUAUGCAGCUGUAAAAAUCAGUGUGGUAGAUCUCCGUAUAUGAGUUGAUGUGGAAGGUUGGCCAGUUCACAUGAUAAGGUGAAUAGAAUAAGUUACAGAACAGGCUGUAGAGUAUGAUCUUAUUUGUAGAUGUUUAAAACUGAGUCAUAAGUAUGCUUAUAUACAGAUCGUUUCUGGAAGUAUGUACUGGAAGUCUACCUCUGGGGAGUGGGGAUGGGGGAGUGCACUCUUCUAUACUGUUAUAUUUUCUUUUCAUGCUCCUAAGGUACUUUUAUUGGAAGAUGUAAAGCGGUUCAAUGUAAUAGGCUUAACUUCUGUCAACUAAGUUGGCGUGGGUGCUUUAAGAGGGUGGUAGUGAUGUUGCUGGAGAAAGUAUCCCACAGUCACUGGUGGCUUCAGCCACGGGCCAUUUUGGGGCCUAAUAAUCACAUAUCAUCAUGGUUGCUAGUGUUAAUCGAAAACCUACUAAGUGCCAGGCUUACUGUCUCUGGGUCUUGCUUACGUGGAUGUCAUUUUUCCAGUUGCACCAAAUCGAAAGAGGUUAAUUGGUUUGUUGGAGUUCCUUUGUAGGUGAAGGGCAGAGCCAGGAGCUUGGCUAGGGACAGGGGAGGUGAGUGGGGGAUGGUGGAUAGGUCUUGGCUCCCAGUUUCCUUCUGGGCAGACAUUGCCCCUCUGCCCUGAGGACCUGCUUGUUUGGGGGAAGAGGCCUUUAGAGGCACCAGGGUCAUGCCAGGUGUUGGACAUGGUGAACUGGGAAGUGCUCCCAUCUGGCCACAGCGCAGAAGUAUCACCGUGCUGGGGGAUGGGGAACAGGGCUGUGAAUGGGCCUAUUUGCAUAAGCAGCAUGUGUCUGGAGAGAAAGACAUCACAGAGCAGAAGAGUGCGGGUGCCCAGGAGUGCACUUGCCACCCCUACUUCAUCCCUGAAAGAGUAAAUGGCCUGGAAGGUGUCUCUGAGAGGUAAUGCCGCACACCACCCUCCCUGGGGGCAGGGUCAGGCUACACCUGCCUUAGGUCGGGGGCUGCAGCAGCCUGAGAGCUCUCAGUAGGGCCUCAGUAGCCUGGGAGGGAGCAGGGGCAGGGGGCAGGGAAAGAGGCGUAAUGGGGCUGUCCAGAGGGGCCUGGGAAACCUGGUCCCUGAGGCCUGGGCACAGCUACAAUCACUUCAAAUUGGCUGUGGGGCCAGUGGACUGGGAAGGAAAAAAGCAAUAAGAGUGACCAAGUGCAGAAGGCUGUCAGGUCCCAGGUCACAUGCCUUAGUGCAGUGACUCCUCAUCAUUUUAUGGGGUGUGGGUGUCGUUGGUACACCCAUUUUACAGAUGAGGACACCGAGGCCCAGAAAAGUUAAGUUACAUGUCCUAAGUCACACAGCUUGUAAGUGCCAGAACUGAGAUCAAAACCAAGUCUCUUUGACUUUAAAGUCUGUACUCUGACCCCAAAGAGAUCCUGUUUGGCCACUUAUAGGAGGUCCCUAAAGCUGCAGACUCCCCUUGCCGGCACCCACAUAUAGAGACAUUAACCCUUCCCCUGCAGGGUCACCUCAAAUAGUCUUUUAGCUGGGCUUCUCCUGCAAUUCCACCUAAUGCCAUCCCCUGGGUUUUGCCCAAACCUGAACUGGGCAGUGGGGUGAGAGGAGGGGUUUACAGGGUUACAGAGCCUCAUACAGAUAGGAGCCCAUGGCUGCUGGUCAUCUGCAUUCCUGCAGGAUUGGCUGUUCCUUGGGGUCCUUGGCAGGAAAAUGAGGAUUGCUCCGAGGCCUGCUCCAGUACUUCCCAGAGGCUGGCCUGGUGUGGGGCUCUGGGAAGGCUGAGGCUGGAGAAGCGUAAGUAGGAGGGCAGAGAUGGCACUCAGGUAGCUUGAAUCACCAGGACCCUUCCAAGCCCCACAGGUUCUGAGGGAGUACUAGGGCCAGCUCUGGGAGAGGUCUCUUCCUAUGCUGUGAACCCCCUGCCUUUCUUGCAGCCUACAACGAAUAAAUUUUCUUUGCAAAGG
RNAcentral lists this long non-coding RNA (3982 nucleotides) under Homo sapiens (human). RNAcentral's name for it is "lnc-FANCI-2 transcript variant d-PA2". Lineage: Eukaryota; Metazoa; Chordata; Mammalia; Primates; Hominidae. The record is from RNAcentral.